Molecule: ribosomal RNA, 253 nt
Filed under: uncultured bacterium
Lineage: Bacteria
Description: partial 16S ribosomal RNA
Rfam family: Bacterial small subunit ribosomal RNA
Source: RNAcentral
UACGUAGGGGGCAAGCGUUGUCCGGAAUCAUUGGGCGUAAAGAGCGUGUAGGCGGACCUGCAAGUCGGGGGUGAAAGCCCGAGGCUCAACCUCGGAACUGCCUUCGAUACUGCGGGUCUCGAGUCCGGGAGAGGUGAGUGGAAUUCCUAGUGUAGAGGUGAAAUUCGUAGAUAUUAGGAAGAACACCAGUGGCGAAGGCGGCUCACUGGCCCGGUACUGACGCUGAGGCGCGAAAGCGUGGGGAGCAAACAGG